CCUCGGGAGGCAGCAGUGAGGAAUAUUGGUCAAUGGGCGCGAGCCUGAACCAGCCAAGUAGCGUGAAGGAUGACUGCCCUACGGGUUGUAAACUUCUUUUAUAAAGGAAUAAAGUGAGGCACGUGUGCCUUUUUGUAUGUACUUUAUGAAUAAGGAUCGGCUAACUCCGUGCCAGCAUCCGCGGUAAUACGGAGUAUGCGAUCGUUAUCCGGAUUUAUUGGUUUUAAAGGGUUCGUAGGAGGAUUUUUAAGUCAGCGGUAAAAUGUCCGGGCUCAACCCGGGCCGGCCGUUGAAACUGGAGAUCUUGAGUGGGCGAGAAGUAAGCGGAAUGCGUGGGGGAGCGGUGAAAUGCAUAGAUAUCACGCAGAACUCCGAUUGCGAAGGCAGCAUACCGGCGCCCGACUGACGCUGAGGCACGAAAGCGUGGGGAUCGAACAGGAUUAGAUACCCGAGUAGUC
This 458-nucleotide ribosomal RNA is filed under the name uncultured bacterium. RNAcentral's name for it is "partial 16S ribosomal RNA". It matches the Rfam family "Bacterial small subunit ribosomal RNA", at positions 339 to 795 of the family's 1533-position model. The record is from RNAcentral.